Molecule: long non-coding RNA, 1353 nt
Filed under: Gopherus agassizii (Agassiz's desert tortoise)
Lineage: Eukaryota; Metazoa; Chordata; Testudines; Testudinidae
Description: lncRNA (ENSGAGG00000013937.1)
Source: RNAcentral
CUUCUGUCUGGAAAAAGGUAUAGUUACAUAACCACCUUGCAGCUGCUGGGAUUAGAUGAGGGCACAGAGGCCAACGAUAAGGACCUGAUCAUGAGGAAAGGAGCCUACUUGUCCUUCCUUUACUUGCGUCACCUGAGAAUCAGAGAGCUCCAGCGGGUCUGCCUGGGAAUCCUGAACUACUUCAGAUCUGUUGAGCGAACUUUAACAAUCAGCACCUCAGGUCUCACCCUGCAUGCUGGUAAUCUAAUCCCCAGUGCUGAAGAUACCUGUUGGGUAAAUGCUAUCAAAGGAGGCAUUGGUGUUUCUGGUGGUCUUGGUUCUCACUACUAUGUCCAUUAUACACCAGCUGACUUCAAGGUCCACAGUGCACAGUUCAUGGAGUUUUCUGAGGUGGAAAAUCAUGAUGACUUUUAUACCACUCAAGAUGGAUACAUUCACACACAGGACCAGCGAGGGGCUUACAUCAUGUACGAUGCAGCUUUAAAGGACCUGAAGGACCUUGAAAAUCAGUUGCUGCUUGUGGCAAGCCACUACAUUGAACAAGAUAAAAGCUACGUAACAUACCAUCAAUCCAGGGAUGACAACCUCUUAGCGUGGGCGCACACAUCCGUGGAUCGAUUUGCGGUGCUGCUUGACAUUUGGACUUGUGAAGCUGCUCUCUUAGAGAAUAAACGUCAGCUUCUAGAUGGUUACUUUGAGGCUUACCAGCAUGCUCUGGAUACUGAGGAAAGAUUUGCUUUGGCCCAAGCAAUAACUGACAUCAUGCACAAACGUCCACGAUUUGAUCUCAGCCUCAAGUAUUUUGUGAACACUUACAAUGAUGAAUGCAUCUGCCUCAGGCUUCAGCUGCAGCUGGUGAGAGAGAUAUUCAGCCAACAUAUAGAUGCCCAGCAGGAAUAUGUCCAAAAGAUUUGGCGAAAAGAUCAUACAGGUGGUAUCAAUGUAUUUGGACUUCCCCAUAAUAUAAUUGCUAAGCAACUUAUCUCUCUGAACAACAGUUGCCCUACUUUGAAGAACAUUUACUUGCUGGAGUUUCACCCUUCCCUGGGCCUGGCAUCUUUAAUCCCGAAAGCUCUUGAGUACGUCUCUCAGGAGUUUUAUAGCAUCUAUAGACCAAAAACACCCAGUGAGGCAACUAGUCUAGAAAAACAAGUACUUCGGCUUGCAGUGGAUGAAUGGCUGGCCAUGGAAAAGCUUGAAUCUUCAUACAGCUCUCAAAUUCAGAAAGAUGUAGGUUCAAUUUGUGCUUUUUAUGUAAGUGAGAAUUUUUGUAACUUGUAAGUCCAAUUGAGUAAGUGUUGUAAGGAUGGAAAUAUCUUGUUCAUGCUAUAAUACAGUACAUGUUCUUUGUUU